This 543-nucleotide ribosomal RNA is filed under the name uncultured archaeon. Its description in RNAcentral is "bacterial SSU rRNA". It matches the Rfam family "Archaeal small subunit ribosomal RNA", at positions 457 to 997 of the family's 1478-position model. The record is from RNAcentral.
GGCAGCAGCCGCGGGAACACCGGCGGCCCGAGUGUGAUCGUGAUUAUGGGUCUAAAGGGUCCGUAGCCGGUUUGGUCAGUCCUCCGGGAAAUCUGAUAGCUCAACUAUUAGGCUUUCGGGGGAUACUGCCAGACUUGGAACCGGGAGAGGUAAGAGGUACUACAGGGGUAGGAGUGAAAUCUUGUAAUCCCUGUGGGACCACCUGUGGCGAAGGCGUCUUACCAGAACGGGUUCGACGGUGAGGGACGAAAGCUGGGGGCACGAACCGGAUUAGAUACCCGGGUAGUCCCAGCCGUAAACGAUGCUCGCUAGGUGUCAGGCAUGGCGCGACCGUGUCUGUGGGGGGCCGCAGGGAAGCCGUGAAGCGAGCCACCUGGGAAGUACGGCCGCAAGGCUGAAACUUAAAGGAAUUGGCGGGGGAGCACAACAACGGGUGGAGCCUGCGGUUUAAUUGGACUCAACGCCGGACAACUCACCGGGGGCGACAGCAAUAUGUAGGCCAAGCUGAAGACUUUGCCUGAAUCGCUGAGAAGAGGUGCAUGG